UACGGGGGGGGCAAGCGUUGUUCGGAAUUACUGGGCGUAAAGGGCUCGUAGGCGGCUCGCUAAGUCAGACGUGAAAGCCCUCGGCUUAACCGGGGAACGGCGUCUGAGACUGGCAAGCUUGAAUCCGGGAGAGGGAUGCGGAAUUCCAGGUGUAGCGGUGAAAUGCGUAGAUAUCUGGAGGAACACCGGUGGCGAAGGCGGCAUCCUGGACCGGUAUUGACGCUGAGGAGCGAAAGCCAGGGGAGCAAACGGGAUUAGAUACCCCGGUAGUCCUGGCCCUAAACGAUGAAUGCUUGGUGUAGCGGGUAUCGAUCCCUGCUGUGCCGAAGCUAACGCAUUAAGCAUUCCGCCUGGGGAGUACGGUCGCAAGGCUGAA
Molecule: ribosomal RNA, 376 nt
Filed under: uncultured bacterium
Lineage: Bacteria
Description: bacterial SSU rRNA
Rfam family: Bacterial small subunit ribosomal RNA
Source: RNAcentral